Molecule: ribosomal RNA, 468 nt
Filed under: uncultured Rhodocyclaceae bacterium
Lineage: Bacteria; Pseudomonadati; Pseudomonadota; Betaproteobacteria; Rhodocyclales; Rhodocyclaceae
Description: bacterial SSU rRNA
Rfam family: Bacterial small subunit ribosomal RNA
Source: RNAcentral
GGGGACCCGCACAAGCGGUGGAUGAUGUGGAUUAAUUCGAUGCAACGCGAAAAACCUUACCUACCCUUGACAUGUCCGGAAUCCCGAAGAGAUUUGGGAGUGCUCGCAAGAGAGCCGGAACACAGGUGCUGCAUGGCUGUCGUCAGCUCGUGUCGUGAGAUGUUGGGUUAAGUCCCGCAACGAGCGCAACCCUUGUCAUUAGUUGCCAUCAUUUGGUUGGGCACUCUAAUGAGACUGCCGGUGACAAACCGGAGGAAGGUGGGGAUGACGUCAAGUCCUCAUGGCCCUUAUGGGUAGGGCUUCACACGUCAUACAAUGGUCGGUACAGAGGGUUGCCAACCCGCGAGGGGGAGCCAAUCCCAUAAAGCCAGUCGUAGUCCGGAUCGCAGUCUGCAACUCGACUGCGUGAAGUCGGAAUCGCUAGUAAUCGUGGAUCAGCAUGUCACGGUGAAUACGUUCCCGGGUCUU